GUACCCUCUCCGCUUCUAUCGCCGUUGAUAAUGGCCGCGCCCCGGAGUUCAUUAAGAAAAGAAUUUAUAAGGAUAAAAGUCGGUGUUAUGAGUGUGGGGAGAUUGGGCAUUUGUCUUAUGAGUGUCCGAGGAAUCAGCUGGGGCCGAGGGAAAGGCCGGUAGCUAAGCGAGGUCGGAGAGGUGGGGAUCCAGGGAGGAGGGAGGAAGAGUGGGGUGAUGAGGAGGUGUUUGAGGAGGAGAAUUGGGCGUCGGUGGUGGAUGGAAGGGCGGAUGAGAGGUUGCUGAGUGGAGGGGACAGUGAGAUGGAGAGGAAGAAGGUGAAGAAAUCGAGCUAUUUUAGUGAUGAGAGUGAUGAGGAGGAGUGAUCUGGAGAUUUGAAUCAUCCAAGGUGUUAUCUUUUUGGUGGGACAUCAAAUGGAAUAAAUUUUAU
RNAcentral lists this unclassified non-coding RNA (430 nucleotides) under Hevea brasiliensis (rubber tree). The record is from RNAcentral. Lineage: Eukaryota; Viridiplantae; Streptophyta; Magnoliopsida; Malpighiales; Euphorbiaceae.